RNAcentral lists this ribosomal RNA (571 nucleotides) under uncultured Fusobacterium sp. RNAcentral describes it as "bacterial SSU rRNA". It matches the Rfam family "Bacterial small subunit ribosomal RNA", at positions 189 to 776 of the family's 1533-position model. Lineage: Bacteria; Fusobacteriati; Fusobacteriota; Fusobacteriia; Fusobacteriales; Fusobacteriaceae. The record is from RNAcentral.
AUCCUAGGAUUAUGAAAGCUAUAUGCGCUGUGAGAGAGCUUUGCGUCCCAUUAGCUAGUUGGAGAGGUAACGGCUCACCAAGGCGAUGAUGGGUAGCCGGCCUGAGAGGGUGAUCGGCCACAAGGGGACUGAGACACGGCCCUUACUCCUACGGGAGGCAGCAGUGGGGAAUAUUGGACAAUGGACCAAGAGUCUGAUCCAGCAAUUCUGUGUGCACGAUGAAGUUUUUCGGAAUGUAAAGUGCUUUCAGUUGGGAAGAAAAAAAUGACGGUACCAACAGAAGAAGUGACGGCUAAAUACGUGCCAGCAGCCGCGGUAAUACGUAUGUCACAAGCGUUAUCCGGAUUUAUUGGGCGUAAAGCGCGUCUAGGUGGUUAUAUAAGUCUGAUGUGAAAAUGCAGGGCUCAACUCCGUAUUGCGUUGGAAACUGUGUAACUAGAGUACUGGAGAGGUAAGCGGAACUACAAGUGUAGAGGUGAAAUUCGUAGAUAUUUGUAGGAAUGCCGAUGGGAAAGCCAGCUUACUGGACAGAUACUGACGCUGAAGCGCGAAAGCGUGGGUAGCAAACAGG